GACGAACGCUGGCGGCGUGCUUAACACAUGCAAGCCGAACGGUAAGGCCCUUCGGGGUACACGAGUGGCGAACGGGUGAGUAACACGUGGGUGAUCUGCCCUGCACUUCGGGAUAAGCCUGGGAAACUGGGUCUAAUACCGGAUAGGACCAUUGCCUGCAUGGGUGGUGGUGGAAAGCUUUUGCGGUGUGGGAUGGGCCCGCGGCCUAUCAGCUUGUUGGUGGGGUGAUGGCCUACCAAGGCGACGACGGGUAGCCGGCCUGAGAGGGUGACCGGACACACUGGGACUGAGAUACGGCCCAGACGCCUACGGGAGGCAGCAGUGGGGAAUAUUGCACAAUGGGCGCAAGCCUGAUGCAGCGACGCCGCGUGAGGGACGACGGCCUUCGGGUUGUAAACCUCUUUCAGCACCGACGAAGCGCAAGUGACGGUAGGUGCAGAAGAAGGACCGGCCAACUACGUGCCAGCAGCCGCCGUAA
RNAcentral lists this ribosomal RNA (478 nucleotides) under uncultured bacterium. RNAcentral describes it as "partial 16S ribosomal RNA". It matches the Rfam family "Bacterial small subunit ribosomal RNA", at positions 28 to 523 of the family's 1533-position model. The record is from RNAcentral.